RNAcentral lists this ribosomal RNA (424 nucleotides) under uncultured prokaryote. RNAcentral describes it as "bacterial SSU rRNA". It matches the Rfam family "Bacterial small subunit ribosomal RNA", at positions 355 to 796 of the family's 1533-position model. The record is from RNAcentral.
UGGGGAAUAUUGGACAAUGGGCGCAAGCCUGAUCCAGCCAUGCCGCGUGAGUGAAGAAGGCCUUAGGGUUGUAAAGCUCUUUCAGUCGUGACGAUGAUGACGGUAGCGACAGAAGAAGCCCCGGCUAACUCCGUGCCAGCAGCCGCGGUAAUACGGAGGGGGCAAGCGUUGUUCGGAUUUACUGGGCGUAAAGGGCGCGUAGGCGGGGUAUCCAGUUAGGGGUGAAAGCCCGGGGCUCAACCUCGGAACUGCCUUUAAAACUGAUACUCUAGAGUCCGGAAGAGGGUCGCGGAAUUCCCAGUGUAGAGGUGAAAUUCGUAGAUAUUGGGAAGAACACCGGUGGCGAAGGCGGCGACCUGGUCCGGUACUGACGCUGAGGCGCGAAAGCGUGGGGAGCAAACAGGAUUAGAUACCCCCGUAGUCC